AGAGUUUGAUCCUGGCUCAGGACGAACGCUGGCGGCGUGCUUAACACAUGCAAGUCGAACGGAAAGGCCCUUCGGGGUACUCGAGUGGCGAACGGGUGAGUAACACGUGGGUGAUCUGCCCUGCACUUUGGGAUAAGCCUGGGAAACUGGGUCUAAUACCGAAUAUGACCAUGCACUUCCUGGUGUGUGGUGGAAAGCUUUUGCGGUGUGGGAUGGGCCCGCGGCCUAUCAGCUUGUUGGUGGGGUAAUGGCCUACCAAGGCGACGACGGGUAGCCGGCCUGAGAGGGUGACCGGCCACACUGGGACUGAGAUACGGCCCAGACUCCUACGGGAGGCAGCAGUGGGGAAUAUUGCACAAUGGGCGCAAGCCUGAUGCAGCGACGCCGCGUGAGGGAUGACGGCCUUCGGGUUGUAAACCUCUUUCAGCACAGACGAAGCGCAAGUGACGGUAUGUGCAGAAGAAGGACCGGCCAACUACGUGCCAGCAGCCGCGGUAAUACGUAGGGUCCGAGCGUUGUCCGGAAUUACUGGGCGUAAAGAGCUCGUAGGUGGUUUGUCGCGUUGUUCGUGAAAACUCACAGCUUAACUGUGGGCGUGCGGGCGAUACGGGCAGACUUGAGUACUGCAGGGGAGACUGGAAUUCCUGGUGUAGCGGUGGAAUGCGCAGAUAUCAGGAGGAACACCGGUGGCGAAGGCGGGUCUCUGGGCAGUAACUGACGCUGAGGAGCGAAAGCGUGGGGAGCGAGCAGGAUUAGAUACCCUGGUAGUCC
This 771-nucleotide ribosomal RNA is filed under the name uncultured bacterium. Its description in RNAcentral is "bacterial SSU rRNA". It matches the Rfam family "Bacterial small subunit ribosomal RNA", at positions 8 to 796 of the family's 1533-position model. The record is from RNAcentral.